This 1784-nucleotide long non-coding RNA is filed under the name Theobroma cacao (cacao). Its description in RNAcentral is "long non-coding RNA (TCAC_LNC002528)". Lineage: Eukaryota; Viridiplantae; Streptophyta; Magnoliopsida; Malvales; Malvaceae. The record is from RNAcentral.
CCGAAUAAAUAAAAGUAAAGAGGACUGUGAACCUACGGUUUGGAAAAUGCAGAUCCCACUGUAGUCCUCGAUGAGAUCAGCUAUCUACAGUCUAUAUUGAACCUGAAAUGGGUGGAAAGGAGGGUGGUGAGAUUAUAAAAUCCCAAUGAGUAAACAGACAUCAUCAUAAACAUCUAGAGUUGAGUACAUAGAGACAAUAAAGUAAAUCAUCAUAAAUUGGGUUAUACAAUUAGAACACAUCUCGUUCAAAAUACGUAAAAAGGCUUAUGAAUCUCAUAAACAUUUAGGCUUGUGCCAUAAAUCCAUUCUCGGGGACACCUUGGCUGAGGCAUCCUACCGAGACCGCCAAGGCUAUUAAAAUUCACAUUUCACAUAAAUCAUGUUUUUGUUUUGAAAACAUAACCAUUCCUUGGCGUUGGCUGAGUUCUCCCUCACGUGGUGGUUUAGCGUGAAGUGAACCCUAAACUUUACCCCAGGAGAUACCCUACGUGCUUCUCCGUUCGAGGUAAGAAUAUAAUGGGGUUUACCGUGCCCCUCUAAAAGGCUGGUCCACAGAAACCCCCUACUGUAGUGAUUAAUUAAUAUAUAAUCCACCGUAUAAUAAAACUCAAUAACAUGAUUAUGGCAAUUUUGAAAUUCGCAAUUUUUCAAGGAACCAAACAAUUCGCAUUUCAAUACAAUUGCCAACUAGCCAAUCAUGCUCGAUUUAUCAUAAGCCAGUUAAUUUAAACAAUCAAAUUGCCACAAUUAACAGUCUCCGUGUACUCUAUUUUUCAAAAUCACUAUUAAUUUCAAAACAAUUUAUAAUUUAAUUUCAUUGAAACUCAUUUAUUCAUAAAACAUGAAAAUUUAUCUUUUUAAAUUCCUUUUUCCAUAGAAUUCAUGAAAGCAUCUAAAAACCACCCUAGAUAAUUAAAAUGACAGUAAGUUUACUCACAAUGUCUAGAAUGCAGACUUUCGAAGCACUCUGUCUACUGGUCCUCGGAUGCAAUUUCCUUGCCUUUAUCGGAGGACUCACCACCUUGACACAGUACAAAAUCGAGAGUUUCACCAAGUUGGUACUAAAUCAAAAUUAAACUAAUUUAGACUACCAAUGCAUGAUAUGGAAUGCAAAAAUGCACUGGUAACUAUCUAAACCCGGUAUUGGCCUAAUUCGUCUUAUCACCCGAUUAAAUUCCUAACGGGUCCGUUUAAACUCCAAUUUAAUUCUUUUCAGUUUCUAUACCUCAAUUGCACCCAAAUUAACUUAAUGUCCCUCAGUGUGGUGCAAAUUAUCAGUCCCAACAGCAAAUUACGAAAAUACCCCUAGUGGGUAAAAAUUUGUAUUUUUGCUCCGAAAAUUCCCAUUAUUUUUCUAGGCUCAUAAUUCAUUAUUCCUUAACCAAUUCUCCUAGAAUAAAAUCAAACUCAUCCUCACUCACUACAUGGUAAAUUCAGCCAUUAAUGGUUGGGGGAGAAAAUAAAUUCUUUUCUUGUUGUUUUGUUUCUAAAUAUGCUAAACUAACUAAAAACACUAACAUAAAUUAAAAUCAAAUAAAUCCAACAACUUUCUCUCUCCUAACCCAUUUUUUCAGAAUUGAAUUCAUCAUGAAAACAUGUAAUUUAAUCAUGGAAAAUAAAGAGAAAUGCUUGGGAAUAAGAAAACUCAAGCUUAAUAGAAAAAAUCUCACCUUUUUCACUUAAUUUCCUUGAAAAUUCACACUUUUUCUUUGAUUUUCUCUCUCUAGGGUUUUGUUUUUGUUUUCUCUCUCUUCUUGCUGGUUUGGCCGGCCAUGGGGUGGAAG